RNAcentral lists this ribosomal RNA (488 nucleotides) under uncultured bacterium. RNAcentral's name for it is "partial 16S ribosomal RNA". It matches the Rfam family "Bacterial small subunit ribosomal RNA", at positions 30 to 523 of the family's 1533-position model. The record is from RNAcentral.
AUUGAACGCUGGCGGCAUGCUUUACACAUGCAAGUCGAACGGUAACAGGUUAAGCUGACGAGUGGCGAACGGGUGAGUAAUGCAUCGGAACGUGCCCGGUCGUGGGGGAUAACGCAGCGAAAGCUGCGCUAAUACCGCAUACGAUCUGAGGAUGAAAGCGGGGGACCGUAAGGCCUCGCGCGAUCGGAGCGGCCGAUGUCAGAUUAGGUAGUUGGUGGGGUAAAGGCUCACCAAGCCGACGAUCUGUAGCUGGUCUGAGAGGACGACCAGCCACACUGGGGCUGAGACACGGCCCAGACUCCUACGGGAGGCAGCAGUGGGGAAUUUUGGACAAUGGGCGCAAGCCUGGUCCAGCAAUGCCGAGUGGAGGAUGAAGGUCCUCUGGAUUGUAAACUUCUUUUAUAUGGGACGAAAAAAGGCUUUUCUAAGUCGUCUGACGGUACCAUAUGAAUAAGCACCGGCUAACUCCGUGCCAGCCGCCGCGGUAA